RNAcentral lists this long non-coding RNA (339 nucleotides) under Homo sapiens (human). RNAcentral's name for it is "HSALNT0342650". Lineage: Eukaryota; Metazoa; Chordata; Mammalia; Primates; Hominidae. The record is from RNAcentral.
GGAAACUACAACAACCCAAUCCAGGUAGAACUACAAAUGGCCCAGACCCUUCAACAAGGAAGAUUUGAGUCACUCCACCAGGUAUUUAAUAAGAGUGAUUGACCAAUGAACAAGAGAAAAAGACAAAAUUCAACUCACUGCCUACCACCACCUUCCAGCCAUCCCUCCUAUACCUAUUCUAGAAUAUAGUGUGAACCUGAAAAUUGGAAGGGGAAAGUCGUACACCUGAAAGAAAAAAAUAAAAGAAUGACGCUGGGAGAGGUAUCAGUGGAACAGACUCCUAGAAGACAACGAGAAUGGUGGGAUUCUGAAGUGGCAGGGGCCAUAUGAUGCAAGUAA